UACGAGUGCCCCAAGCGUUAUCCGGAAUUAUUGGGCGUAAAGGGUGUGUAGGUGGUCUAGUUAGUCUCAUGUCAAAUUCUUCGGCUUAACCGGGGUACCGCAUGGGAUACGGCUAGACUAGAGGAUGCGAGGGGUGAAUGGAACUCAUGGAGUAGGGGUGAAAUCCGUUGAUAUCAUGGGGAACACCAAAAGCGAAGGCAGUUCACUGGCGCACUCCUGACACUGAAACACGAAAGCGUGGGUAGCGAAUGGG
This 253-nucleotide ribosomal RNA is filed under the name uncultured bacterium. Its description in RNAcentral is "partial 16S ribosomal RNA". It matches the Rfam family "Bacterial small subunit ribosomal RNA", at positions 524 to 776 of the family's 1533-position model. The record is from RNAcentral.